Molecule: ribosomal RNA, 383 nt
Filed under: uncultured eukaryote
Lineage: Eukaryota
Description: partial 18S ribosomal RNA
Rfam family: Eukaryotic small subunit ribosomal RNA
Source: RNAcentral
CAAUAGCGUAUAUUAAAGUUGUUGCAGUUAAAAAGCUCGUAGUUGGAUUUCUGGUAGGAGUGACCGUUCCGAACUUGAUUGUUCGUGUAUUGUGUUUUCUCCAGCCAUCCUUGUGGAGAACUUUUCUUGCAUUAAUUUGUAGGGAUUGGGACCCGCAUCGUUUACUGUGAAAAAAUUAGAGUGUUUAAAGCAGGCAAUCGCUUGAAUACAUUAGCAUGGAAUAAUAAGAUAGGACUUUGGUACUAUUUUGUUGGUUUGCAUACCAAAUUAAUGAUCAACAGGAACAGUUUGAGGAUAUUCGUAUGAACAUGUCAGAGGUGAAAUUCUUGGAUUUUGAUCAGACGAACUACUGCGAAAGCAUUUAUCAAGGAUGAUUUCAUCAA